This 217-nucleotide long non-coding RNA is filed under the name Gallus gallus (chicken). The record is from RNAcentral. Lineage: Eukaryota; Metazoa; Chordata; Aves; Galliformes; Phasianidae.
UGGAAUAGCUGCUUUGGUUGCAGAAGGUGUGUUGGGUUGGGGUAUUCAUUCGUCUCAGUUGUUUGUCGUGUAUUUGUCCUUCGGGUAGUGGUUUAUCUUCAGAGGUGCGUGCGGUGUCUGUAAGAUGCAUUACCAAGACGAAGAGGAGCCAACGCACUCACAGAUGGUGAAGCCAAGAAGGGAAUCGGGAAAACUGAGAUUCAGACAUGAAAAGAGA